Conger conger (European conger) is the source of this 842-nucleotide long non-coding RNA. RefSeq lists it as uncharacterized. The transcript is spliced from 3 exons. NCBI's taxonomy places the organism in Eukaryota, Metazoa, Chordata, Actinopteri, Anguilliformes, Congridae. The record is from RefSeq and is a predicted model, not a curated record.
UCGGCAAGUGACCGUGCAUGUUUUUAUGUGCUUCAAUAAAUUUUUACGAGGACCAUUUGAUUGUUCAUAAACGUGUCGUUCAUAAAAACUGCAGCAGAGUUCUUACAACAACGUAAAACCAACACGAUGCAUGUGCAAACACCCCACCUCACAAGACAAGCAGCCUAAAUCGGAAAAGGCUUGGGCAGAACGAAGGGACUCGAAAUAGCAAAGAACGAAGUUUGUUUCUGACCAGCAGAGCUGCGAGCCGUCACCAGCAGUAACGCAGAGCGGAGUAAAGCCGGCCAAAGUCAAGAUGUUACCUUGGCAUCUUCCACGAACAUACAGUGAUGGAAUGAAAGCAGAUUCCAGCCAGCUGUACAGCCAGGGUCUGAAGUGUUCUGGCGCCACUGAAGAUGUUGUAUUAGCCGUGCCAAAAAAACACAUUUGAAUAUUGAAUCAAUUUACUGUUGCUGCCGUCUCAGCAGAACUGGCAGUACUUUACAAGUUAAUACGACUUGGAAUAAUACCAAGUAGUCAACUCAAGAUGCUUUCGAUUUUUUUACUUUAUUUUUGCAUUUUGAAACUUUUAAAUGAAUUAAAUUGUAGUUAGCAUCGAGCUAUAAUUAGAUGCAGAGUAUGUAGCCUACAUGUGGUCAAUCUCCGAAGUUGAAAUAUCACUGGUUAAAUAACAGGAAAUGUUUUACCAUUCAGAAAUUACAACAAUGACCACGGAUUUCAAUAUAAUGCUGUAAAUGAUUAUAAUCUAAGGGCGUGGGGAUUCUUAAUGUGGGGGAAUUAGAAAUUCUGUCAGCAUGUUGCCUGGGAUCAUUCCCUUGAACUUGUGUAAUUCUAUUUUCGCU